This is a non-coding RNA of Bubalus bubalis (water buffalo), 1031 nucleotides long. The record is from the annotation of a RefSeq genome assembly. NCBI's taxonomy places the organism in Eukaryota, Metazoa, Chordata, Mammalia, Artiodactyla, Bovidae.
AUUGUCUGAGACGGAAGGGAGGAGGAGAGGGGGCAAACGCACAAAUUUAAAAAGCAAAUAAAUUAUUCAUGAGAAAUGACUUUAUAUUUAAAGAAGUGAUGGAAGAGCAGAAUCAGGAAACAGAAAGUCAAAGCAGGUUGGAAUGCAUACUGAUUAUUUCACAGCCUUCCUUGUCCUGUCAGCCUAUGAAAUAUUAUGGUCUCAGGUACCCGGGAACUGUGAGGACCACAGGAAGUGACCACGUCACAAGGAGGUGCUGAAGGGGGAAGAGGCGCCUGAGAGGAAAUGCCACUGCCCUGCUUUCUCCUGGAGGCAGCCAUGAGCCUCAGCCUCCUGUGCUGGGUGGCUCUUUUUCUCUGGGGAGCAGGCUCUAUGGACACUGAGGUCACCCAGAGUCCCAGUCAUCUGGUCAAAGGAAAAGACCAGAAAGCAAAGAUGGAUUGUGUCCCCAUUAAAGGACACGCUUCUGUUUACUGGUAUCACAAGAAGCUGGAAGCAUUUGAGUUUUUGGUUUAUUUGUUGAAUGGAAAAAUUACAGAAGAUACAGCCAUGUUCAAACAUCGAUUUUCAGCUGAGUGCCCCCAAAACUCACCCUGCAGCCUGGAAAUCAACUCCACCGAGCCAGCGGACUCAGCUCUGUAUUUCUGUGCCAGCAGCCAGUCCACAGUGCUGCACGUCAGCUCUUCUUCGAACACAAACUCACCAUGGACCCAGCUCAGGAAAUCAGUGGUGUCGUAGGAGGGUAGGAACUAACAGAAACCCACCUUGAAAGAGCAUAAACCAGAUGGACAAAUCUGUAAAUGGCCACACAGGAUGAGCAGAAGGGGAGGUGGAAAACAGCUGGUGGGAACGCAAACCCAAGGAAGAGGAAGGAAGCUGUAAGGGGUCUCAGUUCCCCAGUUUGCAGAGUAUCUGGCAAAGGAGACACAGGAUGUGACCUUGAUGGGUUUCUAACCACCUUUAUUAAAACAUGCUGCUAAGUUACUUCAGUCGUGUCCAACUCUGUGCGACCCCAUAGACGGCAGCCCACU